AGUCGAGCGGAUGAGGGAGCUUGCUCCUGGAUUCAGCGGCGGACGGGUGAGUAAUGCCUAGGAAUCUGCCUGGUAGUGGGGGAUAACGUCCGGAAACGGGCGCUAAUACCGCAUACGUCCUGAGGGAGAAAGUGGGGGAUCUUCGGACCUCACGCUAUCAGAUGAGCCUAGGUCGGAUUAGCUAGUUGGUGGGGUAAAGGCCUACCAAGGCGACGAUCCGUAACUGGUCUGAGAGGAUGAUCAGUCACACUGGAACUGAGACACGGUCCAGACUCCUACGGGAGGCAGCAGUGGGGAAUAUUGGACAAUGGGCGAAAGCCUGAUCCAGCCAUGCCGCGUGUGUGAAGAAGGUCUUCGGAUUGUAAAGCACUUUAAGUUGGGAGGAAGGGCAGUAAGUUAAUACCUUGCUGUUUUGACGUUACCAACAGAAUAAGCACCGGCUAACUUCGUGCCAGCAGCCGCGGUAAUACGAAGGGUGCAAGCGUUAAUCGGAAUUACUGGGCGUAAAGCGCGCGUAGGUGGUUCAGCAAGUUGGAUGUGAAAUCCCCGGGCUCAACCUGGGAACUGCAUCCAAAACUACUGAGCUAGAGUACGGUAGAGGGUGGUGGAAUUUCCUGUGUAGCGGUGAAAUGCGUAGAUAUAGGAAGGAACACCAGUGGCGAAGGCGACCACCUGGACUGAUACUGACACUGAGGUGCGAAAAGCGUGGGGAGCAAACAGGAUUAGAUACCCUGGUAGUCCACGCCGUAAACGAUGUCGACUAGCCGUUGGGAUCCNUGAGAUCUU
RNAcentral lists this ribosomal RNA (786 nucleotides) under Pseudomonas aeruginosa. RNAcentral's name for it is "bacterial SSU rRNA". It matches the Rfam family "Bacterial small subunit ribosomal RNA", at positions 60 to 841 of the family's 1533-position model. The record is from RNAcentral. Lineage: Bacteria; Pseudomonadati; Pseudomonadota; Gammaproteobacteria; Pseudomonadales; Pseudomonadaceae.